CCUACGGGAGGCAGCAGUAGGGAAUAUUGCUCAAUGGGGGAAACCCUGAAGCAGCAACGCCGCGUGGAGGAUGAAGGUUUUCGGAUUGUAAACUCCUUUUGUUAGAGAAGAUAAUGACGGUAGCUAACGAAUAAGCACCGGCUAACUCCGUGCCAGCAGCCGCGGUAAUACGGAGGGUGCAAGCGUUACUAGGAAUCACUGGGCGUAAAGAGCGCGUAGGCGGGAUAGCAAGUCAGAUGUGAAAUCCUAUGGCUUAACCAUAGAACUGCAUUUGAAACUGUUAUUCUAGAGUAUGGGAGAGGUAGGUGGAAUGCUUGGUGUAGGGGUAAAAUCCGUAGAGAUCAAGAGGAAUACUCAUUGCGAAGGCGACCUGCUGGAACAUUACUGACGCUGAUGCACGAAAGCGUGGGGAGCAAACAGGAUUAGAUACCCGUGUAGUC
This 440-nucleotide ribosomal RNA is filed under the name uncultured bacterium. RNAcentral describes it as "partial 16S ribosomal RNA". It matches the Rfam family "Bacterial small subunit ribosomal RNA", at positions 338 to 795 of the family's 1533-position model. The record is from RNAcentral.